GAUUCCUACGGGAGGCAGCAGUGGGGAAUAUUGCACAAUGGACGCAAGUCUGAUGCAGCAACGCCGCGUGGAGGAUGACGCAUUUCGGUGUGUAAACUCCUUUUAUAGGGGAAGAUAAUGACGGUACCCUAUGAAUAAGCACCGGCUAACUCCGUGCCAGCAGCCGCGGUAAUACGGAGGGUGCGAGCGUUACUCGGAAUCACUGGGCGUAAAGGAUGCGUAGGCUGGAGAUCAAGUCGAGAGUGAAAUCCAACGGCUCAACCGUUGAACUGCUCUCGAAACUGGUUACCUAGAAUAUGGGAGAGGUAGAUGGAAUUAGUGGUGUAGGGGUAAAAUCCGUAGAUAUCACUAGGAAUACCGAUUGCGAAGGCGAUCUACUGGAACAUUAUUGACGCUGAGGCAUGAAAGCGUGGGGAGCAAACAGGAUUAGAUACCCUGGUAGUCCACGCCCUAAACGAUGCACACUAGUUGUUGCCCUGCUAGUCAGGGCAGUAAUGCACUUAACAGAUUAAGUGUGCCGCCUGGGGAGUACGGUCGCAAGAUUAAAACUCAAAGGAAUAGACGGGGACCCGCACAAGCGGUGGAGCAUGUGGUUUAAUUCGAAGAUACACGAAGAACCUUACCUGGACUUGAUAUCCUUGGAAUCCUGUAGAGAUACGGGAGUGCUAGUUUACUAGAACCAAGUGACAGGUGCUGCACGGCUGUCGUCAGCUCGUGUCGUGAGAUGUUGGGUUAAGUCCCGCAACGAGCGCAACCCUCGUGAUUAGUUGCUAACAGUUCGGCUGAGCACUCUAAUCAGACUGCCUUCGUAAGGAGGAGGAAGGUGAGGACGACGUCAAGUCAUCAUGGCCCUUAUGUCCAGGGCUACACACGUGCUACAAUGGCUAGGACAAAGAGACGCGAUACCGCGAGGUGGAGCAAAUCUUAAAACCUAGUCUCAGUUCGGAUUGGAGUCUGCAACUCGACUCCAUGAAGCUGGAAUCGCUAGUAAUCGUAGAUCAGAUAUGCUACGGUGAAUACGUUCCCGGGCCUUGUACACACCG
Molecule: ribosomal RNA, 1043 nt
Filed under: uncultured Sulfurospirillum sp.
Lineage: Bacteria; Pseudomonadati; Campylobacterota; Epsilonproteobacteria; Campylobacterales; Sulfurospirillaceae
Description: bacterial SSU rRNA
Rfam family: Bacterial small subunit ribosomal RNA
Source: RNAcentral